AUACUUGAAGGAAAUUCUUGUUGCAUGAUCAGUUUUUGGGUCAGUAAAUGCAGAUUUUACAGCAGCGUAAUGUGAAUUUCCAAUUGAUUUUGCUGUAAAUCUUGCAAUUUUAUCUACGACAAAUGAUCGUGACAAGUUGAUAGUUGCGUUGCCAUAAAACUUGCCCUGGUGAUCAAAGAACGAUUCGAGUAAUCUAUAUGUUGCAGAAGAAUUCAACUGAUUGCUAAUAUGCAACGCUCGCGAUGAGAUAAAUGCAUUGUCAUGAUACGGUAAAGGAAACGGAUGAACAACGAGAGAGACACGAGAUCCAUAGUGUUCGAUAGCUAGCUUGAGAGGGGGCCAUGAAUCGCGGCUAUCAGGGCAAAGGGGAUCGAAGAAAGCCUCGAUUAAUAUGGUUUCUGUAUCAGCGAUUCUGUUCUUGUACCAAAAUCCGUCUUGUCUAGAUGGAAGUGUAACCUGAGCGUUCACACGUACAACGCAUAAUAGUAGCAACACAAUCGAUUUCAUGGUCAUGAGAGUGUUAUAGUUCUGAAUUUUCAAGAAUUCCAUUUUUUCUUGAAAUGUAAUUCUAAUGUCUAAAGAUGUGUGAAACGAAAAGAGUUAAAUAGGUGAUCAUAAAG
RNAcentral lists this unclassified non-coding RNA (620 nucleotides) under Hevea brasiliensis (rubber tree). The record is from RNAcentral. Lineage: Eukaryota; Viridiplantae; Streptophyta; Magnoliopsida; Malpighiales; Euphorbiaceae.